This 468-nucleotide ribosomal RNA is filed under the name uncultured bacterium. RNAcentral's name for it is "partial 16S ribosomal RNA". It matches the Rfam family "Bacterial small subunit ribosomal RNA", at positions 28 to 507 of the family's 1533-position model. The record is from RNAcentral.
GACGAACGCUGGCGGCGUGCUUAACACAUGCAAGUCGAACGGAAAGGCCCUGCUUUUGCGGGGUGCUCGAGUGGCGAACGGGUGAGUAACACGUGAGUAACCUGCCCUUGACUUUGGGAUAACUUCAGGAAACUGGGGCUAAUACCGGAUAGGAGCUCCUGCUGCACGGUGGGGGUUGGAAAGAUUCGGCGGUUGGGGAUGGACUCGCGGCCUAUCAGCUUGUUGGUGAGGAGGUGGCUUACCAAGGCUUGGACGGGUCGCCGGCCUGAGAGGGUGACCGGCCACAUUGGGACUGGGAUGCGGCCCAGACUCCUACGGGAGGCAGCAGUGGAGAAUAUUGCACGAUGGGCGGAGGCCUGAUGCAGCAACGCCGCGUGCGGGAUGACGGCCUUCGGGUAGUAAACCGCUUUCGCCUGUGACGAAGCGUGAGUGACGGUAAUGUGUAAAGAAGCACCGGCUAACUACGUG